AGUGGCAGACGGGUGAGUAACAUGUAGGUAUCUACCCUUUGGCCUGGAAUAACACGAGGAAACUUGUGCUAAUACCGGAUAAGUCUUUACGGAGAAAGCUUUAUGCACCAUUGGAUGAGCCUGCACUUGAUUAGUUUGUUGGUGGGGUAAUGGCCUACCAAGACUUUGAUCAAUAGCUGAUUUGAGAGGAUGAUCAGCCACAUUGGGACUGAGACACGGCCCAAACUCCUACGGGAGGCAGCAGUGGGGAAUCUUGCACAAUGGAGGAAACUCUGAUGCAGCGAUGCCGCGUGAGUGAAGAAGGCCUUUGGGUUGUAAAGCUCUUUCGUCGGGGAAGAAAAUGACUGUACCCGAAUAAGAAGGUCCGGCUAACUUCGUGCCAGCAGCCGCGGUAAUACGAAGGGACCUAGCGUAGUUCGGAAUUACUGGGCUUAAAGAGUUCGUAGGUGGUUGAAAAAGUUGGUGGUGAAAUCCCAGAGCUUAACUCUGGAACUGCCAUCAAAACUUUUCAGCUAGAGUUUGAUAGAGGAAAGCAGAAUUUCUAGUGUAGAGGUGAAAUUCGUAGAUAUUAGAAAGAAUACCAAUUGCGAAGGCAGCUUUCUGGAUCAUUACUGACACUGAGGAACGAAAGCAUGGGUAGCGAAGAGGAU
This 650-nucleotide ribosomal RNA is filed under the name uncultured marine bacterium. Its description in RNAcentral is "bacterial SSU rRNA". It matches the Rfam family "Bacterial small subunit ribosomal RNA", at positions 94 to 778 of the family's 1533-position model. The record is from RNAcentral.